Non-coding RNA from Termitomyces sp. T32_za158, 108 nucleotides. Lineage: Eukaryota; Fungi; Basidiomycota; Agaricomycetes; Agaricales; Lyophyllaceae. The record is from the annotation of a GenBank genome assembly.
GGUGAGAUGGCCGAGCGGUCUAAGGCGCCAGACUAAGGUACGUUCGAAAGGUGGGAUAUAUCUAAUCUGGUCUCUUCGGGGGCGGGAGUUCGAAUCUCCCUCUCAUCA